Molecule: ribosomal RNA, 253 nt
Filed under: uncultured bacterium
Lineage: Bacteria
Description: partial 16S ribosomal RNA
Rfam family: Bacterial small subunit ribosomal RNA
Source: RNAcentral
UACGGAGGGUGCAAGCGUUAUCCGGAUUCACUGGGUUUAAAGGGUGCGUAGGUGGGCAGGUAAGUCAGUGGUGAAAUCUCCGAGCUUAACUCGGAAACUGCCGUUGAUACUAUUUGUCUUGAAUAUUGUGGAGGUAAGCGAAAUAUGUCAUGUAGCGGUGAAAUGCUUAGAUAUGACAUAGAACACCAAUUGCGAAGGCAGCUUACUACACAACGAUUGACGCUGAGGCACGAAAGCGUGGGGAUCAAACAGG